RNAcentral lists this long non-coding RNA (483 nucleotides) under Gossypium raimondii (Peruvian cotton). RNAcentral's name for it is "long non-coding RNA (GRAI_LNC003216)". The record is from RNAcentral. Lineage: Eukaryota; Viridiplantae; Streptophyta; Magnoliopsida; Malvales; Malvaceae.
AAAUUUUAAUUUGGUGAAGUCAGGUUGUAUUUUUCAAAAAUACUAAAUAACGUAAACCUUAAACCAUAACCCCUAUCCUGAAAACCAUCAACCGUAAACUCUAUUCCUUAGACCCUAAACCGUAAACCCUUAACCCUUAAACCUUAAACCCACGAACCCUAAACAAUAAUGUAUAAACCUAAAACCCUAAAUUAACCUAGGCCCUCUUAUCUCUUCAACCCUAAAUUUUAAACCUGUAAAUCAUAAACCAUGACCCUUAACCCCUAACACCUACACCCUAAGCCCCAACCUCAAAUGAUAAACCACAAACCAUAAUGCAUAAACCCUUAACCCAUAUCCCCUAAACCUUGAAUCAUAAAACAUUAACUGUAAACCCUCAAACCCUUAGCCCUUAACCCUAAACACUUAAACCUUAAAUCCCAACUAUUGCACCAUAAUCCCUAAACCCUUAACCUGGCCAUAUUCCUUAAACCCCGAAUCAUA